Molecule: long non-coding RNA, 11217 nt
Filed under: Gallus gallus (chicken)
Lineage: Eukaryota; Metazoa; Chordata; Aves; Galliformes; Phasianidae
Source: RNAcentral
CUGGUCUUGGUUUAUCUUCACAAAGUAUGUGACACUUCCUGUGUUAAAUUUUAUGUUGCUGCCAUCUGUCCGUAUUUUUAACCUGACUGACCAUCUUCAUUAUGGUGAUAUUUUCUUUAUUAAAUUCUUUUAAUAUGUAAAUCAUAUUAAUGAUGUUUAUAUAAUCAAUUUCAUCCCAUUCUGAUGACAAAUGAAAGCAUGCAUUAUGUUAGAAUAGUAGUAAAAGCCAACACUGUGCUAAGGAAGGGUUUAUCAGCUGGAGACUUUGCAUCGUUCUUGACAAAUUCAUUUGAACAGGAGGAACAACACCAUUUUAAGUAAUUUUUUUUUUCCUUUUUUAAUACUUAGGAUAAUUUAUUUGGAACACAUAAUUAAAAUCAUGAAAAGUUAAGUUUCCCUUCAAUUUCUUAGCUACUCCUCAAGUAUUAUUGGUAUUGUUCCUGUACAAGUUUGACUGAUACCAUUGGCAAGCACAUUUUAGGUUUAGCAUCAAGCAGCUCUGUACAAGCCCUGUGCUAAUAUCUGUGAUGGUAACCGUCAAUUAUGCAUGUUACCGAUUCUAAGUGAAACUUUCAACUGGGGCUAAAACUGUGGUUUGGGGAUUAAAUUUUUGUAUGUGCAUGUAUUCUUUUUCCACAUUACAUCUGCCUUUGAAGUAGCUCUGUCCAUACUUGAACAGCUGUGAUCUUCAGCUGUGUAUCUUUCAUGCUGUUUAUAAUUACAGUGCUGUUCAAAAUGUCUGUUCUGUUUGAUAUAAUCUAUAAUACUACUUUUAAAAUAAAUGGGCAGCUUAUUGAAAAUCAGAAUCAAUUUAAAUAUUAGCCAAUGACAGUAACAGAAACACAGGCCUAUGACAGGGUCUUGUAUUUAGAGUAAAAACUACAUUUCUAAUAUUAAUGAGUUCUUGAGUAGAUGCAUUUGUCUUUGUUAGUGUGUCUGGAUUUUGAACUGGAAAUAUUGCUUACUAAAAAAAAAAAAAAAGGAGGGUAAAAUCUUGUCUUUUGCUUAUUCUGAAUUAUUUUCCUUGAUAGCUGCUUUUGCAAUUGAUUUUCAGAUUUUAUAUCUGGCCUUGUUCUUGGUAUUUUAAAGUCAAUAAUCACAAGAAAGAUCUACUACCUCUCUUACUCAAUGGAAGCAUAAGCAAUAGCUGCCAAGACUUUCUCUUUCUGAAACACUUUCUCUUACUUUCUCUUACUUUCUCUUACUUUCUCUUCUCUAAAACAUAAAAAGUAAAAAAAAAAAAAAAAAAAAAAAAGAAAUCAUAUGCAACCUCUCCCUUAUCCUGUUCAGAAGUUGUCUUCCCCCUUUGUAACGUCAACCUUUUCACUUCUCUCUUUUUUCUUUUAGUGUCAUGUUCAUAAUAACUUCUACAUUUGCAAGCUAAACUCUUUCUUCCUGCCCCCCCCAAACAGCUUUCACUUGUUCUCUUGCAACUCAGCUUUUAUUUCUUCUAUUUAUAAAACUAUCUUAAGGCUCUAGAGAAGAACUUCUGCAUUUGUCUUUCAAAAUGCUUCUCAGGUUUGAUUAAAAUGCAGACUAUUAAAAUUAGUAUUUUGCUUACAGUGAAGAAUUGAAAGUUUACCAAACUCACUCAGUUUUCCAAGCCCAAGUUUGACCACACUGUGGUUGCAGUCAAGUGCCAUGCUUUUUUGAACUGUUUAAUGAAUGUCAAGUAUUACACACAGUCAUAUUUCAUGUCAAAGCCUCACUUUUUUGCAGUGUCAUGUUUUUGUCUCUUUGUUUGUUCAAAAAAAAGACCUGGCACAGCCAGAAUGCUGUUGAUGAAGUCAGAGUAUUUAGAUUCAGUAGUUUAUACUGAACUUUAUUCACAUCCAUUCAGGUGUUUGCAUUAUUCAUGGACUCUUGUAACUGCUUUGGUGGAUCAUGCAAAUUCACUGUCAAAGUAAUAUCUGAUGUGGAGUUAGUAGACAUCUGGAAAACAUUUUUUUUUCUUAUUUUUCUGCUUACAUAAAGUCUCUUAAGGUGCAGAUAAGCUUAAAAAAAAUAUAUAUAUUGAAAAUACAUAAUGAAAAUAUUUCCUUUGUAGCUCAACUUUAAUUGAAUUUCCAUUCUCUCCUUAUGCAUUUUUUUUUUCAGUUUGGCCAGAAAUUCCCACGGGGUUAGUCUACUUUCUAAGAGCUUUUGUAGUAAGUUUUUGUGAUUUGAAACACUGAGUCUGAAACAGAAGAGCUGCAUCAGAAUGCUAUAAAUUGAUUGAGAUCACCUAGAUACUGCUCAAGCAAUCCAGCUGAAGUGUGGAUUCCUCAUGGAUUCUUUCUGUUUAUGUCUGCUUUUGUGUCCACUGCAUGACUUCUGUAAAAUCAUGCUUUCCUUCUCCUGUCUCUUAUUAUCUUGUGGAUCUUCCAGGUGGGCACAGAAUUCAACCUGAGCACCUCGCAGCUGGAAUACCAACUUUCAUCUCUCAGCUGUGUAGCUACCACUUACAACAGUUCAAGUGUAUGGCAAAAAUAUCCCCUGCAGCUUUUGAUGGUUCAGACAUCAAAUUCUGCUUGUGAUACAAAUUUAUUUGCCCACUUUUUGAAAAAUAAAAUAAAAAUAAAGCAGUUGUUAUGAUCUGAUUUAAAAGAUCUAACAUAUCCUCUGAGAAAUUCAUAAUGUGGAUAUGAAAUUCCGGUGAAAUUUGAAUAAUUUAGUGUGAUGGAUGGAUUAACCAGGGGGCAAAAUGAAGGCUGCACAUUUCUAAACUUUCAACUGCUUGCUUUUGCAGCUUUAACAAAACAAUUUUUGUUUGAUCUGUACAGGUGGGUCUGUAAACAAUUCUGACUAACCUAUAUUUUAUAAAAUAUAAUCUCUUUAACGUAACUAAUAAAUUGCUGUAGUUGAGAAUAGUUGACCUAAGUCCAGUAGUUCAUUAAAAAAUAGUUAAGAGUGAGUGGAGCCUGCAGUAACAUAGCUCACCAGCAUAAAGAUUACAAAUCAAAGCAUGUUACUGGCAUCUGACAGAAGCAGUGGAUCUGCAUUAAACAACUUCAUGGAGUACUUUCAGAAUGCUGUAGUGCUGUCUCCAAGCCUGCCCUCAACAGCUUUGCUUCAACAACUCUUUCUUUGUAUUGCAAUAGACAGAGAAUAAUUGUGAGAAAGAAUAUAGAGAGGCUAUUUGACUCUUUAUUUGUAUAAAAUAUAUUCCUUUUUUAUACCUCAUUUUACUAGCAGAUACUCCACACUGACAGAAAUGGAAUAAUCUUUUCUACCAAUAACCUUACAAAUUGCUUUAGAAUGCCACACUUCACAGUGUAGUGACACUUACUCAGAGCUUCUGCAAUACCCCAUUUUGGGAAACAAAACCCAUGUCAAUUUACAUGGCAAGAGACUGAAUGCUACAUUCAUAGCUCAUGUAUAGAAUCUGACAGUUCAAAACUAAAACAAAUUAUUUGGAAGGUCAACCCUCUUCUUCAUUGACCUUCAUAUUAAUAAUGUUUGUGCUCUGGAAUGCAAAUGAAUCACGUUGCCAAAUUCUUACUCCAUCAUGAUAAAUUAACAGCUUUUUAAUUUAUGUAUCUGUGAACUCUGGUUGUUUGCAAACAUGUAAUUUCAGUCUACCUAAAUCAAUUUAACCAGGGACAAGGCUAGGAUAUGACUCACUUUCUUCAUGCCAAUGGGUAGUAUUAAGCUGAUAAAGGAAGAAAUUCUGACAGAUUUGUGUGCCCAAGAGCCUUCCUGGCUAUUUGCGGUUGACAAAAUUUCCACAGCAGCUAAUGUCUAACUGUGGGAUCCGGUGCGUGAAAAAGAUCUCAUCUGAGGGAGAUGUACACAUUUUUCAUGCAGAAAUUCAAGCUAUUGGGAUAAUUCUUUCCAAUAAUUCUUCUUUUAACCCAAUGAGUUAUUUAUUUAUUUAUGAUGUAGCUUUUACUUGGUGUCAACAGGACGAAUAAAAAUAGGUAGGUAAAUGUAGAAAUACAAGAUGCCAAUAUAAAGAGUUGUUCUUCAAGUGCCAACAGAUUAAGAAAUGUAAUUAUAGAAAGUCAAUAUGGAGUCAAGCUAUGGCAUCUGUUCUCACUACUUGGCUCUACAGAGAACAGGCUGGAAGAGUCUGAGGAAUUCUGACAUGGAAGGCAGUCAGCUUCUUGUAAAAAGCUUUCAGGCAUCCAAUGAGGAAAACUGGGUUUGUCUCUACCUUGUUCUGUCUUUCCAUUUGUGGCAGUCAGUUGGAAUUCUGGCCUAAAAGAAAGUAUUACAACUCCUGGUUUUUGCACUGUAAGUCAAGCUUUCUGGGAGGAAGAAGCAGCACAGCACAGCAUAUAGCAAACAGCAAAAUACUAGCUAGGGCUGGAACAUAACUAUGUUGUAAGGUGCAAAAAUGGAUAGCAAAAUUUGCUUUUGUUUUUCUGUAAUCCAGUGUUGCCAAAAUCAGUUAUUCUGUAUUGCAAGAUCUGUGUGCUUCAAUGAAUGCUUAGGUGAACAGUUUAUUCUUGUGCCCACUAGUUUUUCAUUGAAAUGUGCAUUGCUUUUUUCAUGUUUGGAAACGGAAAUUGAUAUGGUCAUAGUGUAAAGCAUAGGCUAGUACAUCAGAAAAAGGUAUUUUAUGUCUUUUGAAUAUAUGUAUUUUUAAAUUCGUGUAUUGUAUUAAAGAAAUUCUUGAGAAAGAAUAAACUUUACUGUAAGGCUCCAUGGGAAACAAAAAAAUUAUAAGUGCAAGUGCUUCUGAACUCUAGCAAAGGAAACUGAGCGAUACUUCAGGAUGGCUUGAAACUAAUGAGUGUGAACUGCACCUGAUUUUAAGACAUGAUACUGUUUACAACACAACCCUCAAGGAAAGAGUUGUUAAUAUGCAGUCUGGAUUGGGUUGCUUACUUUUUAUCUUUAAGAUCCAAGGACAAAACCUAGUUACUCAUCUUGGUUAUUUUUAUUCUCUUCCCAGUCACAUACUACGUCUGAAAAAAAAAAAUUACCUAUGUUGUCUCUGUUGUACAAGGUCAGUUUAGUACGAGCAUGAUCUCUAUGUAGGGAAGUCUAUUUGCAGAUCGAAAAAAUGUUCCAUGCUGUUAUUUUUGCCUUGAACAUUUCCUUGUAGUGUCCCUGUACAGCCUAUUGUCUUUCUCUGGACACUCAAAAUUACAGAAUUAUUAUAAUGUUUACAUCUGCAUGGAGCUAAAAAUGUCAGAGCUCCAUGUUCGCUACAGGAACUUCAUGCUUUUAAAUAUUUGUGCUAACAGGGUGGUAAAUACUUGUGCCCAAACAAACAUAUAUUGCUUGAUUACAAAUAUAUAUAUAUAUAUAUAUACUCAUAUAUAUGGCCAUUAUUAAUAUAUACCCACUGAGAUUUUCAAAACAACUGAGUAUUCAAGAUGAUGAUUUUUUUUCCAUAUACAAACUUAAGCCAGCAUUUUUUUCCUGCUGGAGAAGGAUGCUUAAUGUUCUGAAUCAGGCAUUUCUGAGUAAUUUCUAAAUAUAAAACUGUGAGACAUACAAAAACACUUGUUAUCACUUUUGAAAAUCUUGGGUGUUUUAUGGAGAGCUGCAUCACUUUCAGGGAUAACAGUAAGUAUGAACUGCGAGCAUUUCUGUUUUGGUAGAGUGGUAUCACUGACCAGAAGUCUCCCAGAUAACGAACUAGGAUGGUGAGGUAGCUAUAAGCUAUAGUACACUGCAGUAGAUUAUAGAAAUAUUUUCAGUAGUAUGAUCAUAGGAAAAAGGUACUGAAACUAGAAAUUGCUUGAUUCUUACUUAGUAUUUGAAAACAAUGACUCAGAAAAGCAGAAGAGAUCAGAAGGUCAAAGAGUAGAGGGAGAAAUAACAGGAGAGUUGAGCUGAGGGAAAUAAUUGGGGAGAGGCUGGAAACUGGACAGAGGAGUCAACAAGGACAACUGCAUUGUUGGGAUAAAAAUUCAAGACAAAAUGACAUGGAAGAAAUGAAGGAAAAGAGUUAAGACGUAUUUGACUUCGGAAGCAGGAGAAGGGAAAGAAAUGGGAGAAAAGUGAAGAGAAGAUGGGCAGCAGGUAGGAAAGACUAAAGAUGACUCCUAUUCAGCUGAUUGAAGAAGUUGAUAUAUCACAUGACAGUAGAAGGGAUUGGGGUGAGACAAAAACUAUGUAUAAGCAGAAGGUGUGAUAUUCAUUAGAACUGGAAAAUAAUUGCUUCUUGGUCAGGAGAGGAACUGAUUUGAAAGAGGAUGGAACAGAUUUGUAGUGAAAGAAAUUGAUUUGGUCCCAGCUUUUCACCCAAGGGCAUUCGGCAUGAACAGAAAUAGGAAAUGGAACGUGGAGGUUAUAGGUCAGGAGAAGAAUGGAGGAGGAAUAGGGACUACAAAAUAUAUGUUCAUUCAGCUGAAAAUAGUUCUAUAUUGUUUUAAAAAGAAUCUCAUAUUUCAUGAAACCCAUCAGCUUUGUCCUGACCUCAAAAGAUAAAUCUCAUGUAAAAACUGACUUAUCAGAGAACUAACAGUACGAGGUGUCCUUUCAGUCCCUGAUCCAUUUUGUCAGCAUUAUUAACACAUUUAUCUUGAAACAUGUAUUUUCAAAAAAUCAAAAUAGAAAUCACUCUGAAAGCUUCCCUUUCAAAGCAGCCACAGCCUUUAAGUAAAAGCAACCCAAACUUUUUUUUUCAAUCACCAUUUACACAAGCUGCAGCUUCUUAAGAAUAAUAAUAAUAAAAAUAGCUAAAGAGAACAUAAAUCUUUCAUUUUUCUAUCAUAACACUGUCUGAUGUGCAAGGUGAAGUAUCCAAAGGAAAUCAGGGCAGUUGAUAGCAGGAUGAGGAGGAUAUUAUUGUACUUCAAAAUAUAUUACUGCUAUAGCAUUGUGCUAUAUGGAUUCUGCAUUAUGUACAAAUAUGAAAGAAAAGACAGUCCUUACUCCCAGAUGCUUUUCAGGUGAUAGGUUAAAUGCAGAACAUUCACCAGGCUUUAAGAUUUCGGUGGCUAUGAAGUGAAAGGAUACAAGAUAAUCUAAAGCAAUGUCUGCUUUCAUAUAACAAUACAUAUUAUAAACCUUCCAUAAAAAAAACAUAUAAUAAAAUUCUUGGAAUCAGUCUAAGAGUACUUCCAGAAUCACAAAAGUAAUGUACUUGAGUGGGAUAUGAAAAGUCAUCCUGAAGGAACUGUGUGAAGGAGCCAUUUUAUAUUAAAUACUGAUUUUUUUUUUUCUUAAAUGUAAUAAAUGAUAAGUGAUUUUUUUUAUAUCAGUUUGUCCAGCUCAUCAAAAGGCUCCCUUGGAUAUAAAAAUUAGUUACCUGAAAUAAUUUUCAUUAAUUUAAAUAUUUACAGUUUAAUAACUUCUAUAGUGCAGAAUAUCCUUUUUUAGUUAGAAGAGAAUGAAAAAUGACAUGGUAGCAUAGCCAGACAAACUUUUUUUCCUAAAAGAAAAAAUAUUUCCAAAUCUGAUCCUACUAAGGUUGAAAUAAGUUUUAAAAUUCCCAUUGACUUUCCGUGUGUAAGUUGAGAAUCCUUUCAAAUUUGGAAUUUUUACUUCUUUAAUUCCUGAACAGAAGAUCCCAUUUAACGACUUUUCAGCUCUUCCACCAAACGUCAAAACAAAGAGGAAGUAGUAUAAGAAGUUUCAAUGCAGUUUUAUAGAAUUUCUUUAAAUUUGGUAACUCGACUUUUAAAGAGUCUCUGCAUACAGGGGAGAAUACACGGAGGAAAGGAUUGACAGACAGGUUAAUUUCCUUGAAAAGAAGGCUUCAAGCUACGCCAGGGAAGAUGCAGGCUGGACAUUAGGAAAUACUACUUCUCUGAAAGGGUAGUCAGGCACUGGAAUGGGCUUCUCAGAGAGGUGGUGGAGUCACCGACCCUGAAGGUGUUCAAAGAGCGUUUGGACGUUGUGUUGAGGGACAUGGUUUAGCGAGAACCGUUGAUAAAGGGUGAACAAAUGGUUGGACUGGGUGAUCCUGUGGGUCUUUUCCAACCUUAGCAAUUCUAUGAUUCUAAGAUUCAACUGUAAGUGAAUAUAGUUUUAUAUUUAUAUUUGCAUUUUAUAAGUCACAUAAUUUCCUUUCCUAUCAAUGCAUUGGAUCAGAUACUUUUAUUUUGCCUAUGUUAAUUUCAGUGACAAAAAUCCUAUGGGUUUUUCUAAAAUAAGGUAAUGUAUCAUUAGAAAAAUAUAUUAAUGGAGAUAAUUUAGAAGUGAAGGACCACACAGAGCAGCUGAGGGCAUUGGAGUCUGCUCUGCAAUUCCUUUCAGCCCCCCAAAAAACUAUUUGACGCUUAUUUGAUUUUUUGUUUAUAUUUUUUAAAAUACACCUAAAAUUAAAGAUAAUUGACUUUGCAGUGUGGAAGAUGAAGACAUUCUGAGGAAAAUCCAGUUAAGUUUUUUUUCUUUCCAGAAAUACAACUAGCUAUAUUAAUUGUUACAGAACUGUUCAAAAUUUAACUUCUGCCAUCUUGGGAUCAUUUUUAGUUGUGGAGUUAGAUAACAGUUGACAUGAAUGUCUGCUUACAAUUUUAAAAACAUCUUGGAGUGAUAAAAGAGUAUCUCGAGUAAUCUAAAAGCACUGAAAGGAUGCACUUUUUAUUAUCUAUAUAGUCACAAGAGACCAGUGUAAAGACAGCUUGCUAGAUCUCAAAGAGCAUGAAUUUAACAAUGAAACUACGUUGAGCCUAAGAUGUCCAUAACCAUUACAAGAUGAACAGUGGGAUAUUUAGAUUCUCCAUACGGGAGAUGCAGGAGAUGAUCUGGCUUCUGUUAUAUGUCAGUAUUAUGGGAAUUUUAUCAUUUGUUUGCCUUUUAUUCACAUACUAGGAAUGUAUUAAUUUCAAGAUGAGACAAAACCAUGCAGAAACUAAGGUAUUUGUCUUGUGUGAAAACUAUGUCUGAUGUUGCAAUAUACUAAUGUGUGAGAUACAUUACCUUUCUCAGGGCAUACUUGAUUUAUGUACAGAAUUAAAUUAGCAUGCAGCCAACAACAACAGCAACAACAACAACAAAAAACUGUAGGCACCCCUGAGCAGAAUAACAAACCAUAAUUAAAAUGCUGUGAUUUUAUGAUUGAUUUAUUGUCAGAAAGCAUCAUGGCUUUUUCAUCCUAAUUUUACAAUUAUGACUGUCUCCAAGCCUGACUGUUCAUUGAUUUAAUUAUAUAAACAUAUGUUUAAUUUUAAGCACAGAAGUAGUCUCGAAUGUUUUCAGACCACUAAAAGCAGUUGAGUAUGUUCUCAAGCAUCUUGCUGAGUGUCUGUAUCUUUCCACAAGCUAUGGCUAUUGUUUGGGGAAUUUGGCAUCUCACAGAAAAAUGCCUUCUGGUCAUGUUAAACAGGCUGAAUGUAAAAUAAAGUCUAAAUACAAAGUAAAUAGCUGUUUCUUGGUCUGGGGAGAGGCACAUAUGUUUAGAACUGGGCAGUGAGUUAACCUGCCAAAAUGUAAAGCCAAUAAACCAAACUUUUAGUGUACUAACUCCUUAAAGGAAUGAGGGGGAGUAUUACCUGGGGAAGGGAACAAGAAGAGGAAGACUGAAAGAAAGCUUUGGGAUGUGGUAUUACACUACAUUAAAACUGUACAGAUCAUUUUUGCUGAACAUGUCUAGGAUCUUGUGAAGCAAGCCAGGCCCUCCAGCUUUCCACUGAGCUGAAUAAAAGUUCUCAAAACCUCCAUAAGCACUGCAGAAGGGUAAAGCCAAUGCAAACAGCUCCAUUGUCCCCUGUGCUCUGCAAAUAGUAGAGAAAAUAGAAGAGUCCUGUCCAUCCUCCCAUGUUACCCUCUAGACAUUUUCAUCUAGGCUGUUCUUGUGUUGUUGCAAAGACUUAAGAAAUCGGGGUAUUUCUGAGCUCUCCUUCAUCCUUCCUGUGAUUUAGAGAUUUAUGUAGCUUUUGACUCUUCUGUAUACUUUGCGUGUAGCUUUUGGCAUGGAAACUGUCAAGUUCUUUCAGGGUAGUUGGGAGUGUUCUGUACCUUGUUGCCUAGGCAGUGUGCUGAGUAUUCCUUAAGGCCAUGCAAGCUUAAGCAUCUCUUAGUGUCUGCCUGCAAUGGUAGAGGGCUGUACUCAGUGCCUGGGGCAAUCCCUUCCAUGCCCUCAGGGGCUUCACUUCCUAGUUCUAAUGCAGUUCCUUGAAGAGUACUGCAAGUCCUUGGACUUUCUCAUUGUAUUCUUUGCCAUUUCAAAGCAGUACCUUUAAGUCCUCUCUUUAAGGCUCUUGACCCAGCUGAACUUGACUCCAUAUUGUCUUGCCUUUUUAUCUUAAGAUGGUACAUGCCUUUUUUCACUCUUCAAGGAGAAGUGCCAAAAUCCUUGGUGGGGCAGGACCACCUGUUACCUUCAGGCAGAAAACCAUGCUGUGUGGUGCCCAAGUUUGACUAGUUUUAAUUCAUGGAUUAGGAUAAGACAUUAUUAGCAUAGCCCCAUAGACUUUCAGUGCACACAUAAUAACUAAAAGCUGAUAACUGAAUUUGUUUCUGGUUCCUUUCUUAAGGUGAAAUGAGAUAUCCAUUUUUAUUCUAGUUACUGUAAUGGAAAAAAAAUAGGAAGUUAUUAUUUGUACUUGUAUAUGGGAACUGUUGAAUCACGGCCUGAACCUCUGAUUGAUCACCUGAGGCAAGCACCGAGUCAGCUGUGCUAGCACAGGUGAAGGCAAUUCACCUGUGUGACUGGAAGGGGGUGGAGCCAGGCUCCACCUCUCCUAGACCCCAUUUAAGGGCUGACUGCCAAUGAGGAAGGAUACCUUCUUGGAAAUUGCUCCUCAGGGUGUUAUUGUGAGCCUACAACACUGGUGAGCACCUUUCAUUUUUAUCUGAUUGUCUUUUCCAAUGUGGUAUUCUUACCAGCCUAAUUUCUGUGUAUACUGCAUAACAUCUGUAUACUUAUUUACCAUACAAUUUAUUAUACUAAAUCAGGAAUUUCAGAAGUGAAAUUUUCCACUGAUGCUUGGAAGAUUAAGUAUAAGUAAAGUGCUGUUCUUAAAGAACAGGCUUGUGAUACAGAAUAUGCCAAAUCAAUAUACUUAGUGGACUUUCAAAAGAGGUGUUCCUGCACUUCUGUAGCAUAGCCUUUUGCCUCCUGCCAAGGUAAUUAUCACUUUAAAUGAUUAUGUAUUUCAAUAUUUAUUUUAGUUACACUGCUUAAGACUUCAAAAGGAAUAGAGACGAAAUAAAGACCUAAAGCACUCACAAAUAAUGUCUCAUUGUCUUUGUGCUUUAUCUAUGCUUGAGCAUACCAUCUUCAUCCACUAUUCUUAUGCUGUAGACUAUAUAACAUUUAUUAAGGUUAUUAUUUCACAGUGGUACACUGACCAAGCUGAAGACUUUUACACCACCCUGACAUCAAAGGCC